CUGUAGGAGAUGAAAUAUUUCCUCACUCAUCCUGGAUAAAAGAGUACUUCACUUGGGCAGGAUUUAAGGAUUAUAACCCAGUGCUCAGGAGAUGACUGAAAUAGAGGAGGACUUCAGCCCUUUUCCUGGAGGAUAUGACUAUUUGGUUGACUUUCUACCUUUAUCCUUUCCAAAAGAAAGCCCGAGCUGGGAACACGUGUAUGAGGAAGUUUUGCAACCAUUUUCAAAUCAAACUGCCUCUAACACCGCCCAGCUGGAGGUCCUUCCUGAUGCACUGGGGGUAGAGCAGGCCUGAGCUUUCCAGAUUGCUGUGGCAAGAACCUCCAGUACUGUGCUGAAAAGAACUGGUGAGAGUGGACAUCCUUGUCUUGUUCCUGAUUUUAGGGAAAAAGCUCUCAAUUUUUCACCAU
Molecule: long non-coding RNA, 410 nt
Organism: Neogale vison (American mink)
Lineage: Eukaryota; Metazoa; Chordata; Mammalia; Carnivora; Mustelidae
Exons: 4
Source: RefSeq, a predicted model, not a curated record